Molecule: ribosomal RNA, 253 nt
Filed under: uncultured bacterium
Lineage: Bacteria
Also listed under: 1 other name
Description: partial 16S ribosomal RNA
Rfam family: Bacterial small subunit ribosomal RNA
Source: RNAcentral
AACGUAGGACGCGAGCGUUAUCCGGAGUUACUGGGCGUAAAGGGUGGGCAGGCGGCCGUGUCAGAUGGGUGUGAAAUCUCCCGGCUCAACCGGGAGGGGCCACUCGUGACUGCACGGCUGGAGGGCAGCAGAGGCGCGUGGAAUUCCGGGUGGAGUGGUGAAAUGCGUAGAGAUCCGGAGGAACACCAGAGGCGAAGGCGGCGCGCUGGGCUGCACCUGACGCUGAACCACGAAAGCCAGGGUAGCGAACGGG